GAUGAACGCUGGCGGCGUGCCUAAUACAUGCAAGUCGAGCGAACAGACGAGGAGCUUGCUCCUCUGACGUUAGCGGCGGACGGGUGAGUAACACGUGGAUAACCUACCUAUAAGACUGGGAUAACUUCGGGAAACCGGAGCUAAUACCGGAUAAUAUAUUGAACCGCAUGGUUCAAUAGUGAAAGACGGUUUUGCUGUCACUUAUAGAUGGAUCCGCGCCGCAUUAGCUAGUUGGUAAGGUAACGGCUUACCAAGGCAACGAUGCGUAGCCGACCUGAGAGGGUGAUCGGCCACACUGGAGCUGAGACACGGUCCAGGCUCCUACGGGAGGCAGCAGUAGGGAAUCUUCCGCAAUGGGCGAAAACUUGACGGAGCAACGCCGCGUGAGUGAUGAAGGUCUUCGGAUCGUAAAACUCUGUUAUUAGGGAAGAACAAAUGUGUAAGUAACUAUGCACGUCUUGACGGUACCUAAUCAGAAAGCCACGGCUAACUACGUG
Molecule: ribosomal RNA, 497 nt
Filed under: uncultured bacterium
Lineage: Bacteria
Description: partial 16S ribosomal RNA
Rfam family: Bacterial small subunit ribosomal RNA
Source: RNAcentral